Molecule: transfer RNA, 67 nt
Filed under: Ictidomys tridecemlineatus (thirteen-lined ground squirrel)
Lineage: Eukaryota; Metazoa; Chordata; Mammalia; Rodentia; Sciuridae
Description: Spermophilus tridecemlineatus (thirteen-lined ground squirrel) tRNA
Rfam family: tRNA
About the family: Transfer RNA (tRNA) molecules are approximately 80 nucleotides in length. Their secondary structure includes four short double-helical elements and three loops (D, anti-codon, and T loops). Further hydrogen bonds mediate the characteristic L-shaped molecular structure. tRNAs have two regions of fundamental functional importance: the anti-codon, which is responsible for specific mRNA codon recognition, and the 3' end, to which the tRNAs corresponding amino acid is attached (by aminoacyl-tRNA synthetases). tRNAs cope with the degeneracy of the genetic code in two manners: having more than one tRNA (with a specific anti-codon) for a particular amino acid; and 'wobble' base-pairing, i.e. permitting non-standard base-pairing at the 3rd anti-codon position.
Source: Rfam by way of RNAcentral
UGGGAUGUAGCUCAGUGGUAGAGCACUAGCUUUACAAAGGACUCUGGGUUCAACCCCAGCAUCCCAC